RNAcentral lists this ribosomal RNA (808 nucleotides) under Salmonella enterica subsp. enterica serovar Bonariensis. RNAcentral's name for it is "partial 23S ribosomal RNA". It matches the Rfam family "Bacterial large subunit ribosomal RNA", at positions 379 to 1191 of the family's 2925-position model. Lineage: Bacteria; Pseudomonadati; Pseudomonadota; Gammaproteobacteria; Enterobacterales; Enterobacteriaceae. The record is from RNAcentral.
ACAAAAGCGCACAUGCUGUGAGCUCGAUGAGUAGGGCGGGACACGUGGUAUCCUGUCUGAAUAUGGGGGGACCAUCCUCCAAGGCUAAAUACUCCUGACUGACCGAUAGUGAACCAGUACCGUGAGGGAAAGGCGAAAAGAACCCCGGCGAGGGGAGUGAAAAAGAACCUGAAACCGUGUACGUACAAGCAGUGGGAGCACCCUUUGGGGUGUGACUGCGUACCUUUUGUAUAAUGGGUCAGCGACUUAUAUUCUGUAGCAAGGUUAACCGUAUAGGGGAGCCGGAGGGAAACCGAGUCUUAACCGGGCGUUAAGUUGCAGGGUAUAGACCCGAAACCCGGUGAUCUAGCCAUGGGCAGGUUGAAGGUUGGGUAACACUAACUGGAGGACCGAACCGACUAAUGUUGAAAAAUUAGCGGAUGACCUGUGGCUGGGGGUGAAAGGCCAAUCAAACCGGGAGAUAGCUGGUUCUCCCCGAAAGCUAUUUAGGUAGCGCCUCGUGAAUUCAUCUCCGGGGGUAGAGCACUGUUUCGGCUAGGGGGCCAUCCCGGCUUACCAACCCGAUGCAAACUGCGAAUACCGGAGAAUGUUAUCACGGGAGACACACGGCGGGUGCUAACGUCCGUCGUGAAGAGGGAAACAACCCAGACCGCCAGCUAAGGUCCCAAAGUCAUGGUUAAGUGGGAAACGAUGUGGGAAGGCCCAGACAGCCAGGAUGUUGGCUUAGAAGCAGCCAUCAUUUAAAGAAAGCGUAAUAGCUCACUGGUCGAGUCGGCCUGCGCGGAAGAUGUAACGGGGCUAAACCAUG